UAGCCGACCUGAGAGGGUGAUCGGCCACACUGGAACUGAGACACGGUCCAGACUCCUACGGGAGGCAGCAGUAGGGAAUCUUCCGCAAUGGGCGAAAGCCUGACGGAGCAACGCCGCGUGUGCGAAGAAGGUCUUCGGAUCGUAAAGCACUGUUGUUAAGGAAGAACGACAGUAAGAGUAACUGCUUACUGUGUGACGGUACUUAACCAGAAAGCCACGGCUAACUACGUGCCAGCAGCCGCGGUAAUACGUAGGUGGCAAGCGUUAUCCGGAAUUAUUGGGCGUAAAGCGCGCGUAGGCGGCGAGAUUAGUCUGAUGUGAAAGCCCCCGGCUCAACCGGGGAAGGUCAUUGGAAACUGUUUCGCUUGAGUGCAGAAGAGGAGAGUGGAAUUCCAUGUGUAGCGGUGAAAUGCGCAGAGAUAUGGAGGAACACCAGUGGCGAAGGCGGCUCUCUGGUCUGCAACUGACGCUGAUGUGCGAAAGCGUGGGGAUCAAACAGGAUUAGAUACCCUGGUAGUCCACGCCGUAAACGAUGAGUGCUAAGUGUUAGGGGGUUUCCGCCCCUCAGUGCUGCAGCUAACGCA
Molecule: ribosomal RNA, 584 nt
Filed under: uncultured bacterium
Lineage: Bacteria
Description: bacterial SSU rRNA
Rfam family: Bacterial small subunit ribosomal RNA
Source: RNAcentral